Non-coding RNA from Zonotrichia albicollis (white-throated sparrow), 5158 nucleotides. The record is from RefSeq and is a predicted model, not a curated record. Lineage: Eukaryota; Metazoa; Chordata; Aves; Passeriformes; Passerellidae.
UCCUAAUUAACAUAUUUAAUCUAAAACACCCCAGCAACUUAGCUUGAGGGGGAGAAAGAAGGAGGAGAAAUGUGCUAUCCUUGAGAAUGCUCUUCCUCUGCUUAUCUUGAAGGCACAGCUAUACACCUCUGGAAGGUUGCCCUAACCUACACCUCUAGCCCUCUGCAGCAGUGAGAAGAGUGUCUUGCUGUACUCUUAUCCAUUUCAGCCACAGGUCCUUCCCUUUUACACUGUGCUUUGUUGCUUUCUUUUCAGCCAUUUAAGACCAAGUGCUAUUGUCCUCUGCUGCUGCUGCCGCUGCUGCUGGAGCACGGCAAGACUUUGAAACAGUCUCCAUGACAAUCAGAGAGAUGCAGUCUGGAUCCUAAUGGGGGUGACACAUGGCUGUGACUGUAUCCUGCAGAGCAAGGUUCUUUGUAUCACAUUUGAGCCAAGAAGCAUCUGAGCGAAAAGGUAUCCUGAAUACUGAAAUACUGGAUAUUUGUGUGUGUUUUUAAUGGACCAUGUGCAAACAGCCAUACAAAGUUAGUGAAGGAGGUAGCGGUUAUCCUACAGAAGGAAAUGUAGAACAAGAUGUGCAGAUUUGGAGACGAUGUGGAACUGACAACCUGAGAAAUGCCAUCCAUAAAGGAAGGACUUGGGAACACAGAGGGCCUGCAAACUCCUGGGGAUACUGACGCUGAAAAAGAGAAUGGAAGCAGUCAGGUCAGCUGCCUGCUGAGGAUGCUAGGAAGAAUGUGAAUGAAGCUUGAAGAAAACAAAUACGAAGAAAGUGAAUGAAGCUCAAAGCAAGACAGGUAUUAAUGACCAAGCUGUGGUAAGGCAAAAGGAGAGCACCGGUCUCAAUAGAAAGAGGAGGCAGGGAAUCUUCUGUAAGGCUUUUAAAAAUAAAAUAUUGAUUAUUUUUAAUUAAAAUGUUAUAAAAUAUUUAAAGUAAAAUAUCAUAAAAUAUUGCUCAUUUGGAUGAUGCCCAGCCACCCUCACAAAUGAACGCUCUCCAUUGACACACACUUCUGUGCCUCCUACUCAGCUUUCCUCAGGAGGGUCAUGGCAAAAUGAGGCUGAGCAAUAGGAAAGCUAUCAUUUUCUAAGCUGAGAAGAGCAGUGCCAGGAUCAAUACAGUAUGAAACAAGCCUAACCACAGUCUCUAAAGCCUUCAUUGCAGCUUUUCUUUGUGGUUUUGGAACAUCUCUGAAAGAGAAGAAACAAUUUCCUUCUUAUUGCAAGCAAUGCCCAUCAAAGUUAUUUUAAUGUAGAGAAACAAAAGUGUUUCAAAAGUCUUCAAAGGGGUUCUGAGGGGAAAAUGAUGUGAACCCUCAUUGUAAAUAAGGGUACAAGUAAGGGAAUUGUAGCUUUUAUCAAUGUAGAUUUGAGGUCCUCUCAGUGUUCCAUGGGCAAAAAUCCUGGCAAACAUUGUGUUUAGUACAACAGCACAAAUGGCUCUUUUCCAUCCACAGAAGUUUGUGUUUGACAUGUCAUGUUUUAUGUCAGUUCUGUUUGGGUUUAUCCCACUUGCUGUCCUCAGAAAUCUCUCCCAACAUCCUGCUCCCCAGUAAUGUGACUAACAAAUCAGAGAUGCACCAUACUUUCUGCUCAAUUAAGGACAGAAAAACAACCCUCACACAAGCAGUAUCUAGGCUAUUGCUGAAAAUGGUGCUGAGCGUUUCAGAUAGAUGUUCAGAAAAGACUAAAAGGCAGCUACAGAAGAGAAUCUUCAUAAAUUUCCUCCCAGUCUUUCUUACUCAGUGACACAUGAUCAUUUAUUCAAUCUUUUUUAAGAGGAAAACUGCAGCAUUCUAUGUUUUUCUGCUUCCACAGAAAUGUGAGCAUUUUUUGGACUUUUUGUCACAAAAUGAACUCUUUCAGCAGUAAGAAAUCUUGCAACACUAAGUGACAUGCUUUGUGCCCAUCCUGUUCUUUCUUCCCCAUAACUUUUCUUGGGUUUUCCCUGUGAUUAUUCCUGUCACCAGCUAACUGUUCUUCAACUCUGAAAUGGUAAAUAACAAAAUGGAGAUAUGAAAUAAGGAUGAUGCUGCUCCAGAGACAUGGCCAAACAGAGAUAAGUGGGGCAAUGAAACCUAACAUGGCAGGGCAGCUAGAUUGGAUGAAAGAUAUUUACAGCUUUUUAACUUCUUCAGGUUUGCAGUAGCCUACCAUUUUAAGCUGAAAGCAUUGUCUUUAUGCUCCAUAUGUACAUUGCAGAUGUUGCAGUCCAGGGGCUGCUCUUCUGCCACUGACCCUUUCUGUGGCCUUAGCUAAAUCACUUUACCUUGUUGUUACCUUUAAUCAAAUUGUGGUCUCGUAAAGUAUGAUCCCUCUUUAAUGCCUCAGUAUCAUGACAUUGACUCGGUAGGGACUUCUAACAUUGCAACACAAUUACUGAUAAUAAAACAUAACUAGCUGAGAAGAAUCAAACCAUUUUCUUAUAGCCUUUACUUAGAAGAUUUUUAAUUUCAUGAAGGUCUGAGAGAUUUCCAUGUUUUGGGGUGAAAUAGAAAUGUAUUGGUAAUGCACUGGAAUAUCUUUAAGAAAAAUGUAUACCUACAAUAUCCCUUUAUUAUCUCUUCAUGUUCCUGCAGUCUGCCAGCCUUACACAAAUCUAGUCCUAUAUAAUUUUUUUUUCCUACAAAACAAGCUAUUAAAAGAUGUCUUUGCUGCUCCUCUGCACUAAUAAUUAGUUUGCACACAAAGAUUACUUACAGACUGUUCUUUUUCUUAGCUGAUUUAGUUUGUUAAAUGCAUCUAAUUGAUUAUAUAAGAAAAAGAGACCAAUGUACCUUUGCAGAUGCCUUUGACUUGUUUUACAGAGUGAUACUGUGCUGUGCUCUACAAAGUUCUACAAUCUAUACAUCUGCUUCUCAUUAUUAUUAUAACUUUUGUUUAGUAUAUUAUCUUUCCAAAGCUAUUGUUUGAUUUGCCUUUCAGCAAGGGAGACUUCACCUUUCUGAAGUUUCUUUUUCAUUUUUUUACUAGGUUUCUGUUCUAAUGCAACCCAUUAUUUUCAAAGGCUUUCAACAACAGAAGAAUAUCAUUGUGCUCAGAGCAGAUGUCUGAACUGAUCAGGAAAAUUAUUGUUGGGGUUGUGUUUGCCCAUUUUCAGAGACUUUGGUGGCACGGAUUUAUAGUAUAAGAAAAUCUCCAAGCUCACCUAUGCCUCAGGCACUCAGCAUUCACUAAGGCACUGAACCUUUUCUCCAGGUUCAUCUGCUCAUGUUCUCCUGUCUUUCAUACAAAUGCAUUGUAACACAUCUCUACUAAGAAGAGAAUACAAUAAGACAAGCUGGAGCCAGUAGUCAGAGUGAUGAGAUUAUUCUGAACUGCCUUUAAAGUUUCUUGUGUUAAUGACUGGCAAAUAGUUAGGACCUCUUAAAAGCCUGGCUCCAAUACAGUGUAAUGGCAGCUGUGUAACAUAAUUUCCCAAAUAAGCUCUUACAAUAGAGGACUCAGAUAUACAGAGUUCACCUAUCUUUGCUUCUGAAAGCCCAAAGAACGUCCCAGUCGUGCAAGCUUGCAGUCCCUGGUUAAUUAUAAUCUCUGUUUAUAUAGCAGCCCUAUCUCAAAACUCUUUUCAAACAUUAAGACUCCUAGCACUUCUUUUGUGUAGGCAUUAUUAUCCCUGUCAUUAUCAUUAUCUCAUCUUCCAUUUUAUAGGUGGUAAAUGAGCAAAAUCACACUGUGAGUCAGUAGCUGAAUUGGGAAUAGAAUAUUGUAGUCCUGACUUUGUCCCUUGCUUUAAUUACUCACUAACAUGAUUGUAAUUUGUGGGUUGAAGUGAUUUUGUUCAGUGUAAGAUCUCAGCAAAGAUUUUUGUUUGUAUGGCUUUCAUGCUGAUAUUUUUCAGCUGUUGGUCUCGGUUUAAGUAGAUAAUAAGAGAUGCUGUCAUCUUCCAAUUAAAUACCUAUCAAUAAAUUUUAAUAUUAUACAAUUUGAAUAAUAGACUGGAACAGCUCAAAUGAAGCUUAGUCUAUUGAGCAAUGAAGUAUUUAGGUAUUGAUGUUCUGUCCUAAUCUAGUCAUAGUAAAAACCAUGAUGGAAAUCUAUGGAGAAAUGUACUUUUGUAAAGUGACUGGGUUUUAAACGACAGUUGUUAUUAAUUAGUCUUUUCUUUUAAUGUGAAAAUAGCAUAUGCAAUUACUAAAUUAAGUUAAAGCCACUUGUCUAUUUUUUUUUUUUAGUCAGAACAUUUUAGUUGGUAUAAAAUACACAAAUGUGUUCAGUUGAAACUAGACAGUUAACCUUAUUUUUUUCCUUUUCCAGAACUGUUUUAAUCUGGAAAGGCAAUCUAAUCAUUGCAUUGGCUCAAACAAUAGCUUAGCUUCAAAACAUCCCACUGACAGCACCCGACUCCUUUGUUUCUCUGUCAUCAAAUGUCGUAAGAAAGAGAAUAAAAAAUUAAAUAUUUUUACGAGUGGUUACUCAGAAGACCACAAGGUGCAGUCCUGAGAGAAACUGAAGAUGCUCUGAGAAGUGAAAGCAUGGUCCUCCCAUAAGAGAAGUGUAAGACCCUCAAUAUUACAACAUGAUUGUUUAGAAAUAGUGGAUUGACCUUUUUCUUCCUUGUUCAUUAUUCUUUUCCUCUUUCUCCUCCUUCUUCUUUUAAAUAACAGGAUAUCUUUGUCAUUCCUUUAACUACACUGUAAAAAUCUUAUCCUGUCAGUGGUCUGCUUGCCUACAGGUGCAAAACUUGGUUUUGGUGAAUUAUCAUAGAAAUACUUACUGCCUUAAAGGUAUAUCUUUCCAAGGGAAUAGAUCCCUCACAUAAAAGUACAAAGCCCACUUUGCUUCCUUCUACUUGUCCCAGUUAUGCAACAAAAAAUGCUUGUUGGUUUCAACAAACAAGAUCUCUUGCAAGGUGAUUUGAAUGCUGUAUUUUGUGGAUGCAGCAGUCAUGUACACAGUCUUUAUACAACUGACAAUCAUGGAGAAGAGAACCUAGGUGAGCAAUUUGUUUCACAGUUUUCUGUACUAACAGGGUUACAAUUCCCUGCAUUUGUUCUGCGCUAUGUCGGCACUUUACACUCUGAUCUUUUAUUAAUUCUUCUUUAAUGACCUGUUCAUUUGCUCAUAAACCAGAUCUCCAUGUCUCCCAAUCACUUUAUUAGACAAGUUACAGCCUUUCCCUUCCCUUCCCUUCCCUUCCCUUCCCUUCCCUUCCCUU